GCGGGAGUAGUGAAAAGGUCAUCACCCUUGCCCUCCAAGCAAGUAUCGCGAGUUCGAAUCUCGUCUCCCGCA
This 72-nucleotide transfer RNA is filed under the name Bifidobacterium adolescentis. RNAcentral describes it as "tRNA-Gly". It matches the Rfam family "tRNA". From Rfam's summary of the family: Transfer RNA (tRNA) molecules are approximately 80 nucleotides in length. Their secondary structure includes four short double-helical elements and three loops (D, anti-codon, and T loops). Lineage: Bacteria; Bacillati; Actinomycetota; Actinomycetes; Bifidobacteriales; Bifidobacteriaceae. The record is from RNAcentral.